UCAUGCUCGUUCUGAUCACGGUAAGAUUUGGCGUACUUUGUUUUGAAGAGUGAGAAAUGAUGGUCGGCGUUGAGGAGGUGGGUGGAUUGUCCGGGUUCGGGGACGACUUGCCGGAUUAUUGGGUCAUCAGCGGUGGCGGUGGCGGUGGCGGUGGCGGUGGCGGUGGAGAGAAGAAGAGAGAGGAGAGAGAUGGUUAGCAAGUAAUGCAUUGGGAAAGUGAGUUUAGAUUUGAAUAUCUGGUGCGUAGACUUUGUUUUUAUAUUGGGCUCUGUUUAGGUGGGUUUUGAUUCUUGGGUGGCGUAUGCAUUUACAUGGGG
RNAcentral lists this long non-coding RNA (317 nucleotides) under Daucus carota (carrot). RNAcentral describes it as "long non-coding RNA (DCAR_LNC003612)". Lineage: Eukaryota; Viridiplantae; Streptophyta; Magnoliopsida; Apiales; Apiaceae. The record is from RNAcentral.